AGUCGAGAAUCUUCGGCAAUGAGCGCAAGCUUGACCGAGCGACGCCGCGUGCGGGAUGAAGGCCUUCGGGUUGUAAACCGCUUUGGUCCGAAAGAAAGGGCAACUUGAUCGAUCGGAGAAACAAGGACGGGCUAAGUUCGUGCCAGCAGCCGCGGUAAGACGAACCGUCCAAACGUUAUUCGGAAUCACUGGGCUUAAAGGGCGCGUAGGCGGCCGAGCGGGUCGUGGGUGAAAUCCCCCAGCUUAACUGGGGAACUGCUUACGAUACCACUGCGGCUCGAGGAAGGAAGGGGCAAUGGGAACUGUCGGUGGAGCGGUGAAAUGCGUUGAUAUCGACAGGAACGCCUGUGGCGAAAGCGCAUUGCUGGUCCUUUUCUGACGCUGAGGCGCGAAAGCCAGGGGAGCAAA
RNAcentral lists this ribosomal RNA (408 nucleotides) under uncultured Gemmata sp. RNAcentral describes it as "bacterial SSU rRNA". It matches the Rfam family "Bacterial small subunit ribosomal RNA", at positions 353 to 772 of the family's 1533-position model. Lineage: Bacteria; Pseudomonadati; Planctomycetota; Planctomycetia; Gemmatales; Gemmataceae. The record is from RNAcentral.